Molecule: ribosomal RNA, 254 nt
Filed under: uncultured bacterium
Lineage: Bacteria
Description: partial 16S ribosomal RNA
Rfam family: Bacterial small subunit ribosomal RNA
Source: RNAcentral
UACGGGGGGAGCAAGCGUUGUUCGGAUUUACUGGGCGUAAAGGGCGCGUAGGCGGCCACCGCAAGUCAGUUGUGAAAUCUCUGGGCUUAACCCAGAACAGUCAGCUGAUACUGCGGGGCUAGAGUGCAGAAGGGGCAACUGGAAUUCUCGGUGUAGCGGUGAAAUGCGUAGAUAUCGAGAGGAACACCGGUGGCGAAGGCGGGUCUCUGGGCCGUAACUGACGCUGAGGAGCGAAAGCAUGGGGAGCGAACAGG